UAGCUUGCUAAUUAAGAUCUUAGUGGCGGACGGGUUAGUAACACGUGAGAACCUACCCUUUAGACAGGAAUAGCCCAUGGAAACGUGGAUUAAUGCCUGAUAGUCUCUAUGGAGUAAAUGAUGCCUCCGGGUAUCGCUAAAGGAUGGGCUCGCGGCCUAUCAGCUUGUUGGUGAGGUAAAGGCUCACCAAGGCGACGACGGGUAGCUGGUCUGAGAGGACGAUCAGCAACACUGGAACUGAGACACGGUCCAGACACCUACGGGUGGCAGCAGUCGAGAAUCAUUCACAAUGGAGGCAACUCUGAUGGUGCAACGCCGCGUGGAGGAUGACGGUCCUAGGAUUGUAAACUCCUGUCAUUGGGGAGUAAGACUUAAGCGUUAAGAGCGUUUAAGUUUGAUAGUACCCAAAGAGGAAGGGACGGCUAACUUCGUGCCAGCAGCCGCGGUAAUACGAAGGUCCCAAGCGUUGUUCGGAAUCACUGGGCGUAAAGCGUGUGUAGGCUGCGCGGAGAGUCAAAUGUGAAAGCCCGGGGCUCAACCUCGGA
Molecule: ribosomal RNA, 545 nt
Filed under: uncultured Verrucomicrobiae bacterium
Lineage: Bacteria; Pseudomonadati; Verrucomicrobiota; Verrucomicrobiia
Description: bacterial SSU rRNA
Rfam family: Bacterial small subunit ribosomal RNA
Source: RNAcentral